RNAcentral lists this ribosomal RNA (591 nucleotides) under uncultured Dietzia sp. RNAcentral's name for it is "bacterial SSU rRNA". It matches the Rfam family "Bacterial small subunit ribosomal RNA", at positions 214 to 817 of the family's 1533-position model. The record is from RNAcentral. Lineage: Bacteria; Bacillati; Actinomycetota; Actinomycetes; Mycobacteriales; Dietziaceae.
UUCGGUGCAGGAUGAGCCCGCGGCCUAUCAGCUUGUUGGUGGGGUAAUGGCCUACCAAGGCGACGACGGGUAGCCGGCCUGAGAGGGUGAUCGGCCACACUGGGACUGAGACACGGCCCAGACUCCUACGGGAGGCAGCAGUGGGGAAUAUUGCACAAUGGGCGAAAGCCUGAUGCAGCGACGCCGCGUGGGGGAUGACGGUCUUCGGAUUGUAAACCCCUUUCAGUAGGGACGAAGCGCAAGUGACGGUACCUGCAGAAGAAGCACCGGCCAACUACGUGCCAGCAGCCGCGGUAAUACGUAGGGUGCGAGCGUUGUCCGGAAUUACUGGGCGUAAAGAGCUCGUAGGCGGUUUGUCGCGUCGUCCGUGAAAACUCGGAGCUUAACUCCGAGCUUGCGGGCGAUACGGGCAGACUUGAGUACUACAGGGGAGACUGGAAUUCCUGGUGUAGCGGUGAAAUGCGCAGAUAUCAGGAGGAACACCGGUGGCGAAGGCGGGUCUCUGGGUAGUAACUGACGCUGAGGAGCGAAAGCAUGGGUAGCGAACAGGAUUAGAUAUCCUGGUAGUCCAUGCCGUAAACGGUGGGCGCU